UCACCGGUGGCCACCGUGGCAGUCAACGUGUUAAUAUGAUAUAAAAUAUAAAUUUAGAUUAUAUAAAUAUUUAUAUACAUAUAAAUAGAAUAUAAAGCAAUUGGAAAAUGUGUCUGUUAAACAUUGCCGUUAAGGUCGCUAAGGGUUAAUGACCGCCAACUUGUACGAACAGCGAAAACUGUAAAAUCAAACUGUAGAGAUUUUAAUCGGUGCCACGUUUGUUCUGUCCAAGAUAAAAGGAGGAAUUAUCUCUCUACGACGCGUGACGCUUAAAACACUUCGUUCCGCUUUCGUCGACGCCGAAACGCUUUGGGAAAGGUUAGUUCCUGCUCGAUUGGACACGUUCGACCGUUCAAAACCGCACGGCGGGAUGUUACGACAUGCCUCCUCUCUUCGAAGGCUAAAGCUUGCUGGAAAGCUAGAGAAAACGCCUAGAUAAAGGGGAUCUUUGCUUAUGUCUGACAAAGAACUUGACACUUGUCUGCCUGGAGACGGUAAACGCCGUGCGGAACGAAACAAAGAUUGAAUACGGACUGUAAUCUCAGGUGUGUCUGGGUUGAAGAUUCGCGAUGCCUGGAGUUAACCGUUACGUGUUUAUAAACACGGAAAACGACGGUCACGAGCAAUUUAUUAAAGUGUUCACUGGUAUUUGAAAAAUGUAUGUUUUUAUUUAUGAAAUAGAAUGAGCGUCGUAUAGAAAGUUGAAGAGAUGUAAUUUUAUCAUUUUUAUAAGAAACUAAAUAUGAAUAAUUUAGAAUACUUAGUUGUUAUAAUAUUAAUUGUACUCUUAUCUG
This is a non-coding RNA of Nomia melanderi (Alkali bee), 794 nucleotides long. NCBI's taxonomy places the organism in Eukaryota, Metazoa, Arthropoda, Insecta, Hymenoptera, Halictidae. The record is from RefSeq and is a predicted model, not a curated record.